RNAcentral lists this ribosomal RNA (440 nucleotides) under uncultured bacterium. RNAcentral describes it as "partial 16S ribosomal RNA". It matches the Rfam family "Bacterial small subunit ribosomal RNA", at positions 338 to 795 of the family's 1533-position model. The record is from RNAcentral.
CCUACGGGUGGCAGCAGUGGGGAAUAUUGCACAAUGGGGGAAACCCUGAUGCAGCGACGCCGCGUGAGUGAAGAAGUAUUUCGGUAUGUAAAGCUCUAUCAGCAGGGAAGAAAAUGACGGUACCUGAUUCAGAGGCCCCGGCUAACUACGUGCCAGCAGCCGCGGUAAUACGUAGGGGGCAAGCGUUAUCCGGAUUUACUGCGUGAAAAGGGAGCGUAGACGGCAGCACAAGUCUGGAGGGAAAUGCCGGGGCUUAACCCCGGAACUGCUUUGGAAACUGCGACGCUAGAGUACAGGAGAGGUAAGUGGAAGUCCUAGUGUAGCGGUGAAAUGCGUAGAUAGUAGGAGGAACACCAGUGGCGAAGGCGGCUUACUGGACUGUAACUGACGUUGAGGCUCGAAAGCGUGGGGAGCAAACAGGAUUAGAUACCCGGGUAGUC